GGGUGGUCACGGGCACCGGGCGGCCGCGCGGAAAGGAGCGGCCUCCCCCGGGGCCGGGCGCGCGGAGAGCGGCGAGGAAAGCCCGGGCUGGGCUGGGCUAGGCUGGCCACCGCGCUGGCGACGGGAGCAGACGCGGGUCCCGGGAGACGCCUCCCAGCGCCCCUGUCUCUCGCUCUCGCCGUCUCCCGGUGCAGCCCGCACCCGCCUCCCUCCAAACGCUGGCGGCCCGCGCUGCAGGCGCCUCCCCUCCUGGGGGUGCUGAGGCUUGAGCGAAAUCCCACUGGACAGUAACCGGCUUCAGCGGAGCGAAAACUCAGCCGCACUCCAGCUACGCUCCAGGGCAAGCUGCGCCGGGCACCGUUUCUUCCUUGUGACGUUCAAAAGAAUGCAGAUGGGUUACCAACUACAGGAGAGGUUAAACUUGAGGGCGUGCUUUUUAAAUUCAUUAUCAACGUUUUCAUGGAAAGAACCGGCUAAGGAGUCGAUCUGUCUUCCAGUUUUAUCCCUAGACUCAAAUUAGGACAUGGGCUGGCUCUCAGUGAGCACUCAGUAAACAGCAAGUCUCCUCCUGCCCUUUGAAAAAGCGUUUCGGAUCAUCUUGGCAUUGUAAGCGAUUUUCAUCUAGUUCCAGUCCAAGUGUGACUGGCUUUACACAGGUUACUCCCCCUCCUGGACUUUCAGGAUCUCGCUCUGUCGCCCAAGCUGGAGUGCAGUGGCGCGAUCAUGGCUCCCUGUAUCCUCGACCUCCUGGGCUAAAGCGAUCCUCUCGCCUCAGCCUCUCCAGCACUGGGACUACAGGCGGGCGCCACAAAGCUCAACUAAUUGUUUUAUUGUUAGUAGAGACGAGGGGGGACUCACUACGUUACCCAAGCUGGCCUCAAGCGAUCCUUUGGUCUGGGCCUCCCAAAACGCUGGGAUUACAGGAGUGAGCCAAUGCGCCUGGCCCCGAUUUUUAUUCUUGAAACCAUCCCUUCCAUUGGCUCUGUGACACCUCGGUCUCCGUGUUUCCUAACCUUUUCUUGCUCAGCCACCUCUUGCAUGUUGGAGCAUCUAAAUGGUCUUGCCCUUAGUCUGUCUCUAAUGCUGCCUAGGCACAUGGCUUCAAUUACCAACCAUGUGCUGAUAACUCAUAAAUUUCCAUUUCUGUCCCACAUCUCCAGUUCUAUAAAACGAACUUUUUACCAGAAAUCUCUACCCAGAUGUCCCAUCGGCCUUAAACUCAACUUGACUAAAACAGAACUCAACUUUCCUGCCAGCUGGCUUUUCUCUCUAGUCUCAUUCUCAGUAAAUGUCACCACAAUCCACUUAGUCACCCAAAGGAGAAAUCUGGAAAUUAUCCCAGGCUUUUCCUUCUCUCAUCUGCUGUCUGCCCAUCCAUGCACCUAUCAUUUCUGUCUAUCACCUUCCCUCCAUUCCACUGCUUUUUGCCUAGUUUCAGGUCUCUUGUUUCAAGACCCUGAAACACUAUAUUACUCUCCUUAUUAGUCUCACUGCCUCUAAGUUUGUUGCACCUCCACCCUUGCCAUCUCACGUUGUGACCGAAGUAAGCCUUCUAAAAUACAAAUUUUUGACCAAGUCAUUCCCCACAUCAGCCCUGCCAAUGGCUCCCCAUAGCCUGCAGGGUAAAGUCCCGAUAUCUUAGCCAGGGCCUAAGUCUCCACUCUCUUUAAACAGUGAGUUUCUUGCACCACCAUUCCCUGUUGGGCCACUUACUUUUAUGCUGUGCCCUCACAUGGAGUGUCCUUUCUCUUACACAGCCUAAGUUUACCUGCUCUUUCAAGAUUCACCCUAAGAGUCACAUUCCUUAUGAAAUCAUUUCUGACCCUGCUGCAGGUUAGAACUGAUUUCACUGAGCUUUCUCUACACUAAAUGCCUCUCUCCCCCAAUUAUAAUGCUUUAGAAGACUUUAUUAAACUCAGUUUUUAUUUAUAGUCUUCCUGAUGGCAAGUAUUAUGACAGACUUACUUUCGUCUUCUUAGUUCCCAGUACAGUUCCUGACAUUAGUAGGUGCUCAGUGUUUGUGGAAUGAAUUAAUUAUGUGAUGUACCUUGAGUUAUUAUAUUUUUGUGGCUUAUAGAAAAUCGUUUUCCCAUGCGUUAUCUCAUUUCACUCUUGACAGUUCUGCAAAAGAUAUAUCAUUAUCACCUUUUAUAGAAAUGGAAACUGAAGCUACAAAGGAAUAAAGCAAUCUGCCCAAGGUUCUACUGUAUAUACUUCAGAGCCAGGACUUGAACUCAGUUUGCCCAGUUCAGUUCAUUAUAUGUUUGCCUGUUUCUAUGGUCUGAAUGUUUAUGUCUCCCCAAAAUUCAUAUGUUGAAAUCCUCAUUCCCAGGGUGAUGGUAUUAGGAAGUAGGAAUUUUGGAAGACUAUUUGGUCAUGAGGGUUGAGCCCUCAUAAAUGGGAUUAGUGCCCUUAUAAAAGAGGUCCAGAAAGAGACUUCUGACUCCUUCUGCCAUGUGAGGUUAAAGUGAGCAGAUGGCUAACUAUGAGGAAACGGGCCCUCGCCAGACAACACAUCUGCAUCUUGCACUUCCCAGCCUCCAGAGCUGUAAGAAAUACAUUUCUGUUAUUAGCCACCCAGGCUAUGGUAUGUUGUUAGAGCAGCCGAAACAGACUAUGACAGCUAUCCAUUAUUUUUCCCCUUAAAUUCUGUUUAGUAUGAUUCUAUUUUGUAGAUUUUUGUUAGUGGUUGCCAAGAAUCUCUCCAUCUUUUUAUUUUAAACCAGUCUGAGUCAUUAUGUUUUAAGUGUGUCUUGUAAAUAACACUUGAAUUUUUAUAUUAUUGACCCGUUCUGAGAGUCUGCCUUUUAGUAGUCUAUUUUCAUCUGUUUUCAUUUAUCAUGUCUAUUAAUUAGAAUAAAAAGUUGU
This 2868-nucleotide long non-coding RNA is filed under the name Homo sapiens (human). RNAcentral's name for it is "non-protein coding lnc-VWA8-9:3". The record is from RNAcentral. Lineage: Eukaryota; Metazoa; Chordata; Mammalia; Primates; Hominidae.